GCGUGCCUAAUACAUGCAAGUCGAGCGGACUUAAAAAGCUUGCUUUUUAAGUUAGCGGCGGACGGGUGAGUAACACGUGGGCAACCUGCCUGUAAGACUGGGAUAACUUCGGGAAACCGGAGCUAAUACCGGAUAAUCCUUUUCUACUCAUGUAGGAAAGCUGAAAGACGGUUUACGCUGUCACUUACAGAUGGGCCCGCGGCGCAUUAGCUAGUUGGUGAGGUAACGGCUCACCAAGGCGACGAUGCGUAGCCGACCUGAGAGGGUGAUCGGCCACACUGGGACUGAGACACGGCCCAGACUCCUACGGGAGGCAGCAGUAGGGAAUCUUCCGCAAUGGACGAAAGUCUGACGGAGCAACGCCGCGUGAGUGAUGAAGGUUUUCGGAUCGUAAAACUCUGUUGUUAGGGAAGAACAAGUACGAGAGUAACUGCUCGUACCUUGACGGUACCUAACCAGAAAGCCACGGCUAACUACGUGCCAGCAGCCGCGGUAAUACGUAGGUGGCAAGCGUUGUCCGGAAUUAUUGGGCGUAAAGCGCGCGCAGGCGGUCCUUUAAGUCUGAUGUGAAAGCCCACGGCUCAACCGUGGAGGGUCAUUGGAAACUGGGGGACUUGAGUGCAGAAGAGGAGAGUGGAAUUCCACGUGUAGCGGUGAAAUGCGUAGAGAUGUGGAGGAACACCAGUGGCGAAGGCGACUCUCUGGUCUGUAACUGACGCUGAGGCGCGAAAGCGUGGGGAGCGAACAGGAUUAGAUACCCUGGUAGUCCACGCCGUAACGAUGAGUGCUAAGUGUUAGAGGGUUUCCGCCCUUU
RNAcentral lists this ribosomal RNA (814 nucleotides) under uncultured bacterium. Its description in RNAcentral is "bacterial SSU rRNA". It matches the Rfam family "Bacterial small subunit ribosomal RNA", at positions 42 to 841 of the family's 1533-position model. The record is from RNAcentral.